This is a long non-coding RNA of Prunus dulcis (almond), 241 nucleotides long. RefSeq lists it as uncharacterized. The transcript is spliced from 2 exons. NCBI's taxonomy places the organism in Eukaryota, Viridiplantae, Streptophyta, Magnoliopsida, Rosales, Rosaceae. The record is from RefSeq and is a predicted model, not a curated record.
AGGCAUCAGAGGCCAAACUGAACCACAGGAGGGACCUUCAAAAGGUCCAGCUAGCUCGGACCAGCAGCAGUCGAGUGCACAGGAAUCCACCACCAGGCCUACUCCUAGCUCCCACGCUACUUCCGAAAUGUAGGAUUUAUUGUAAAUUACUUAAAGUCUUGUAAAUAAUUAGUAACUGCUCUGAUAUCUGGUUGGAUUAGAUAACCAGAACUGGUGAAUAUUUAGUUAUCCUAUUCUGGCA